GUGACGGUAUCUUCAGAAGAAGUCCCGGCUAACUACGUGCCAGCAGCCGCGGUGAUACGUAGGGGACAAGCGUUGUCCGGAAUUAUUGGGCGUAAAGCGCGUGUAGGCGGCCAAGUAAGUCUUACGUGAAAUCCUGAGGCUCAACCUCAGGCCUGCGCGGGAUACUGCUUGGCUAGAGUCCGGAAGAGGAGAGUGGAAUUCCUGGUGUAGCGGUGGAAUGCGCAGAUAUCAGGAGGAACAUCCGUGGCGAAGGCGGCUCUCUGGGACGGUACUGACGCUGAGACGCGAAAGCGUGGGGAGCGAACAGGAUUAGAUACCCUGGUAGUCCACGCCGUAAACGAUGGGUGCUAGGUGUGGGAGGUGUCGAUUCCUUCCGUGCCGAAGCUAACGCAUUAAGCACCCCGCCUGGGGAGUACGGUCGCAAGACUAAAACUCAAAGGAAUUGACG
This 448-nucleotide ribosomal RNA is filed under the name uncultured bacterium. RNAcentral describes it as "SSU rRNA". It matches the Rfam family "Bacterial small subunit ribosomal RNA", at positions 469 to 915 of the family's 1533-position model. The record is from RNAcentral.